Molecule: long non-coding RNA, 1894 nt
Organism: Gavia stellata (red-throated loon)
Lineage: Eukaryota; Metazoa; Chordata; Aves; Gaviiformes; Gaviidae
Exons: 6
Source: RefSeq, a predicted model, not a curated record
AGUUUUCAGUGGUGUCCAAUACAUUGUACAGAAGUAUUAAGCCCUUCAUGGAAGCACCAUCAGAAGUAGAAGAAUACUUGGUACACACAAGUGGAUUUUCCUGAAAGCUAUAAUGGUGUGAACAGUGUCUAAUAAUGGGAAUGUCAGGUGUCCUGCUGAAAGAUUUGCUGGCAACUGUAGUACAACGGAUAGAGAGAUGCUUGAAUGCUGCUUCUCAAUUGAAGGAAAAUGGUCAAAAAUGUAGGAACAAAUGCCUUUAGCUUAUUCAGUGAUGAGUUGGAACACUUUGUCAGUGCUGCCUGACAAAUGUGGAUGAUCUGUAACUGGAAGGAAGUGUAACACCUGAAGAGUUUUUGUGGCUUGGAGUGGGAUGCCAUGCUUUUAAAAACCUGCUGAAACAGCUGUUGCAAUUUUGUUUAGUGAAUACUGUUAUCAGAAACUGCAUGUGAACCAAAAUCACUGCCUCUGUAUAUUUAAGAGGGAUUUUCUCAAAACAUUCAGCAGCUCUCUGUAGGAAGGAUAGCAGCAAUAUUAGGGAAAUGAGUGUUGAGCUUCAAUACAUGGAAAACCCCCUGAGAUUAUUUGCCCUUUUAAAAUAUCAAAGGGUAUACAGGCUUGCUGAUACUGAAGAUCUAUAAUAACUCAAAACAAUGGAACUCACAGGUCAGCCCAGUAAAAGCAGGGAGAAGGCAAAAUGAGUACACAAAUUCAAACCAAUGAGUCUGCUUUUUGAGGGUGGUGUCCUCCAGGAGAUAGGAGGAAGUAGAUGCAGUGAUGGUGGUAUGGAAGCAUAAACAUGAAACACUUGUAAGAAAGAAAUUCAGGUGUCAUGAAGAAAGUCAUGGUUACAAAAAAGGCAAGGUCUAAAGCUUGUAUUGCUGUCUGUAUCUAGUGAGGGAGAGACGAAUUGGGGUUUUAUGGACUGCUGCUUCAGUAUGAGAAGACCAGUACCACAACAGUGGAACUGCCCUUUGAGGAAUAUGCUGACAAUGUUACCUGCUUGCUGUGUGGGAAAAAGAGGUCAGUAGUGGGAGAAGGGAGUGCACACAUUGGAACUUGUGCUUUGAGCAGUCACUUGAAAACUAACGGUGGUGUAUCACAGUAACAGCAUAUUUGCUGUAUUCUGCAAAUUGGCACUCUUCCACAGAGGAAUGAGGGGUCAUAAGUUGGUCACCAAGUAAAUUGGAUUUUAAAGACGAGUCAUUAUGUACAUGAGAUGCAAUCUGCAUUAAAGCAUGACUCUCAAACCUAAUUGUCAGGAAUGCUUUAUAAAGGAAGAAACGUGAGAACAACAUGGUAUCUAAAAAUUGAUAGAGCUACAGUUACUGAAUAAUUUAAAAAUGCACCAAAAUACAGACAAACUACCCUGUAGUCUACAGCCAAAAAUGGCAGCAUUGGAUGCCAGCAGCUCUCUUCCUUUAGAGAGUUGGAGGAAUUCCUAUAGCUCAUGGAAUGUGCCUAUUUCUAAACAACAAAUUCCAUGAAAAGCCCAAUUUUCUGUCUAAGCAGUAUAAUGAAGUGCAAAACACUAUGAGUAGCAGCGCCUAAAGCAUUGUAAAUGUCAAAAAUAAGCAUUCAUUUGACUACUAAAAUGUACACUAAGGAUGUUAUUGAACUCCAGCAGUAUAUUGGCUCACUGAGCAUCUCUGGUGCUUUCGUUACUGUUAAUAAGCAGUAACCAGCUACUUUGGCUAAAGGCUUAAUUUCAGCAAGCAACUCUGUAAAUCAGUCUAUUGAAUAUAUCAGAAUCUGCAGAAAUUUACUACAGAACAGCUUUCCCUUCAUUGCUUUCAACAGGAUUUAUUAUUUCUGUUAACAUGUUAACUGAGAAGGGUAGGUAUUUCCAUGUGCUAUGUUUUGUACAUGCUCCUUGAAUAAAGAUGAGGAUGUGAAA